RNAcentral lists this ribosomal RNA (25 nucleotides) under Catasetum cernuum. RNAcentral's name for it is "partial 26S ribosomal RNA". Lineage: Eukaryota; Viridiplantae; Streptophyta; Magnoliopsida; Asparagales; Orchidaceae. The record is from RNAcentral.
GCGACCCCAGGAUGGGCGAGGCCCC